RNAcentral lists this long non-coding RNA (483 nucleotides) under Brassica napus (rape). RNAcentral's name for it is "long non-coding RNA (BNAP_LNC007926)". Lineage: Eukaryota; Viridiplantae; Streptophyta; Magnoliopsida; Brassicales; Brassicaceae. The record is from RNAcentral.
GAACUCAUAUAGAAUUUACUUAGCUAUCUCAAUACUUUGUAAGAGCGAGCUCGAUUCAAAUAUCGACCUCGCCUCACGUUUGUAAUCUCCUCUUGUACUUCAAUAUUCUUCUAAUGGAAAUGAAAUUUCCUAACUUUGUCCCUUAAUAACUUAAUCACCUCUUAAUUAUAUAUCCGAACUCACACUUCAACAUUUAGCGCCGUUUGUGAGAAAAAAUCAAGAAUCUCUCAACUCAAAGAAACAUUUAGAAAAGAUAGAAACUACAUAUCCAGAUCCAGAAAUUAAGAUAGCAAAACGCAAAAACUCUAAGGACCAUUUGGGAAACAAUGUUGCGGUCGCUGCCACAGAACAUCCCGUAACCCGGUCACAAACCAGGCGGAGGAAAACUAGACGAUCCAGACAACGACUUUGAGACAAAGAGCGAUAGCAAACCAACCAACCACGCCCUCGCGAUAUCACAUGACAACAAGGGAAAUAUUCCAC